RNAcentral lists this ribosomal RNA (253 nucleotides) under uncultured bacterium. RNAcentral describes it as "partial 16S ribosomal RNA". It matches the Rfam family "Bacterial small subunit ribosomal RNA", at positions 524 to 776 of the family's 1533-position model. The record is from RNAcentral.
GACGGAAGGUGCAAGCGUUGCUCGGAAUCACUGGGCGUAAAGGGUGCGUAGGCGGCCGUGCAAGUCUGGCGUGAAAGCCCCGGGCUCAGCCCGGGAAGUGCGCUCGAAACUGCGCGGCUCGAGUGCCGGAGGGGAGAGUGGAAUUCCUGGUGUAGCGGUGAAAUGCGUAGAUAUCAGGAGGAAUACCGGUGGCGAAGGCGGCAUCCUGGACCAUAACUGACGCUGAGGCGCGAAAGCUAGGGGAGCAAACGGG